Molecule: ribosomal RNA, 598 nt
Filed under: Shewanella putrefaciens
Lineage: Bacteria; Pseudomonadati; Pseudomonadota; Gammaproteobacteria; Alteromonadales; Shewanellaceae
Description: bacterial SSU rRNA
Rfam family: Bacterial small subunit ribosomal RNA
Source: RNAcentral
AGUUUACUCACUGAGGUGGCGAGCGGCGGACGGGUGAGUAAUGCCUAGGGAUCUGCCCAGUCGAGGGGGAUAACAGUUGGAAACGACUGCUAAUACCGCAUACGCCCUACGGGGGAAAGAGGGGGACCUUCGGGCCUCUCGCGAUUGGAUGAACCUAGGUGGGAUUAGCUAGUUGGUGAGGUAAUGGCUCACCAAGGCGACGAUCCCUAGCUGUUCUGAGAGGAUGAUCAGCCACACUGGGACUGAGACACGGCCCAGACUCCUACGGGAGGCAGCAGUGGGGAAUAUUGCACAAUGGGGGAAACCCUGAUGCAGCCAUGCCGCGUGUGUGAAGAAGGCCUUCGGGUUGUAAAGCACUUUCAGUAGGGAGGAAAGGGUGAGUCUUAAUACGGCUCAUCUGUGACGUUACCUACAGAAGAAGGACCGGCUAACUCCGUGCCAGCAGCCGCGGUAAUACGGAGGGUCCGAGCGUUAAUCGGAAUUACUGGGCGUAAAGCGUGCGCAGGCGGUUUGUUAAGCGAGAUGUGAAAGCCCUGGGCUCAACCUAGGAAUAGCAUUUCGAACUGGCGAACUAGAGUCUUGUAGAGGGGGGUAGAAU